UACGAGGAACGACGCUGGCGGCGCGCCUAACACAUGCAAGUCGAACGAGAGAUGAAGAGCUUGCUCUUCAAAUCGAGUGGCGAACGGGUGAGUAACGCGUGAGGAACCUGCCUCAAAGAGGGGGACAACAGUUGGAAACGACUGCUAAUACCGCAUAAGCCCACGGCUCGGCAUCGAGCAGAGGGAAAAGGAGUGAUCCGCUUUGAGAUGGCCUCGCGUCCGAUUAGCUAGUUGGUGAGGUAACGGCCCACCAAGGCGACGAUCGGUAGCCGGACUGAGAGGUUGAACGGCCACAUUGGGACUGAGACACGGCCCAGACUCCUACGGGAGGCAGCAGUGGGGAAUAUUGCACAAUGGGGGAAACCCUGAUGCAGCGACGCCGCGUGGAGGAAGAAGGUCUUCGGAUUGUAAACUCCUGUUGUUGAGGAAGAUAAUGACGGUACUCAACAAGGAAGUGACGGCUAACUACGUG
This 472-nucleotide ribosomal RNA is filed under the name uncultured bacterium. Its description in RNAcentral is "bacterial SSU rRNA". It matches the Rfam family "Bacterial small subunit ribosomal RNA", at positions 26 to 507 of the family's 1533-position model. The record is from RNAcentral.